Long non-coding RNA from Oryzias javanicus (javanese ricefish), 1843 nucleotides. NCBI's taxonomy places the organism in Eukaryota, Metazoa, Chordata, Actinopteri, Beloniformes, Adrianichthyidae. The record is from Ensembl.
AUGUACACCGAAGAAGGCACCUCCUUCCUGGACUCCGCUUCCUGCAGGGGGCCACAGUGUAUGCAUGAGGUGAGCAACCUCAAGCCAUUGCAUCCAGCUCUCACCUCCACUCCCCUUUGCUCCUUCAAACACCCCUGCAGAAGAGAGAAUAACUGCGUGCACUGCAGCCAGACCAGCAGGUCUGUCUCAGUACCCUACACGGCUGCAGACAAGUCAAAUCGGAGCUCAGAAGGGGCCGCUGUUUGCAGGACCCCAACGCCAACUCAAGACCAGAUCCAGGCACUGCUCAGGGGUGCUCCAAUAACACCAACACCCCUGAAGAUCAAUGAGCUACAAAAUGAGGCGGAGCAGGUCUCAGAGUGUUCAGGCAGGAUGAUGAAUUUGAUGAUGGACGAAAACAUAAAUGAAGACGGUCAGAAGUCCAGCAGUUCCUCACAGGUUCUGAGGGAGAAUCAGCUGCUGCAGGUUGAGAGAGGCUCGGCACAUCUCUGUGAGGAGCUGGACUGCUUUCCUCUGGAUGGGCUGGUGGGGGUGUGGUGGUGCGAGCAACCUGUCACCCGUUUGGACUGUUCCUUGGCUCACCAGAAGUCAGAGGUUCCUGCACCUUUGGAUCUCUGAACUAUUAGUCCACUUAUUUUAGUUCUAAUCAGAGGUGAGUCACCAAUUGACAAGUUUCAUUUUUUUUUCCCCUCUCCAUCAAUCAGUCAGAAUCCAAGUAUUUUCAAUGUAUUUGCUUGAGUGUGUGUUGGGGAAGACUGUGGGAAAUGCACUCACUCAUAGUGAUUAUCACUCCAACACAUCACUCAUUGCAAAAACAUAUAAAAGAUCACAACAACAAUUUUAAAAUUUAAAACUAAAUUCAAACAAUCAAAACGUAAAAAUUAACAUUUCAAAAAACAAAAGUGAUUUCCAGAAAUCCAAAUAAACUAUUAAUAAAUUAAACAAAAUAAGAAACCGGAACAAUGGUACAAUUGGAAUUCACUAACUGGAUGGUAACAUUAGAGUUAUGAAGAGGAAGGAAAGCAGAAGGAUGUUUAGAUAAAAACCUUCUAUAGGAAGAUAUUGUCAUGCCAAAUAACUUUAGUUUUAAAAAGUGAAAAAACAGCAUUACCCAAUUAGUGAUGCUCCAUAAUACCCUCCUUUUCUGGAUUCUUAUUAUGUUUAAUUUUUAUAACCUCUCAGUUUGAUUUCUGGAAAUUAAGUAUGUUUUCCAAAAUGCUUCUUAUUUUGUUCCUAUUAUUUUCUCUUUAAUUGUGUGUUGUUGUUUUUUUUUUUUUGCAAUUAUGUGUUGGUUUCUGAAACAUUGUUUUGAUUUUAAAAUGUAAUUUUGCUUUUUAAAUUAUUUGCUUUGCUUUUUUCAUGCAUUGUGUGAUUGUUGAUGGGGUUUCCACUUCAGGGGCCCAUUUCAAGAAGCAGGUUCAACAAAUUUAGAGUUGAAACCUGAACUCCUCUGAUGAUUAAUAUAAAUGAUUUGUCUAUGGAUGUUUUUGAAAUUCUAUUACAUCACUGAUAUUAAUGAUCUUUUAUUACCUGAAACUAUAUUAAUAUUUGAUUUUAAGUCCUGAACUGGAUAAUUCAUGAUAAUUCAUGAAGAGAAAAUGGUACGGUCGAGCCGGGGUGGGAUUAUAUAAGUUUGCUUCCUUCCACCCCCUUUCAAGCGAUCUACUUGUGAUUGAUUAUGUGAUGUUAUUUCAUGUAUUAUAACCUGAUUGCUUGAAAUAAACCAUUUCAUUCAUUCAUUCAUUCAUUCAUUCAUUCAUUCAUUCAUUCAUUCAUUCAUUCAUUCAACUGCGAGUCCGUGGACUCAAAAUUCUCAAAUUUAGAGUUUUCGGUUUCAGAACAG